GUGGGUGUAGCUCAGUUGGUAGGGCGCUUACUUAGGAUGCAUGAGGUUCUGAGUUCUAUCCCCAGCACUGCAUA
Molecule: transfer RNA, 74 nt
Filed under: Mus musculus (house mouse)
Lineage: Eukaryota; Metazoa; Chordata; Mammalia; Rodentia; Muridae
Description: tRNA-Pro
Source: RNAcentral